UCUGGGUAUACCAAGAAUGUAGGACUGGUCCACAAAUAGAAUGGCUUUAUUACAAAUAUUUGAAGGAUGGGUGCUCCUGGAAGAAGGCGGAACUGUCUACGGUCCUGCAAUAAGAUUCCCCUUCAAAAAUCAAGUUGCAUAGGAUACAGACACUGGAAGGUUACAAAAGGGCAGGACAGGUCCUCUUUUUGGCAAUCAGAAGCAGCUGAAGCUACAAGGGAAUUGCCUGCACCAGGAGCCUGAUGAUCCAACCUUCUUAAGCAGGAAAUACAAAGAUUUCUUCUUCCCCAAUGAGUUCCCCAACCAAGCUCCUUGUCCCCUUUCUGCACAGUGAUACAGAUUCAUCAGGAAGAGUGGAGAGUGACCCUACUAAAGCACUCUCCUUGAAGUGUGAAUUUAGCCUCCUUGAGUUGGAGAAAACAUUGAACCUGAGUGCACACUUCCUGAGUAAGUUCUGUUACACAAAAGGUGAGCACAACCACCACCUUCUUCUACAUUUUAAAAGAAAAUUAGCCAGCCCUGCUCAGGGGCUUGAAGAAAUUGUUAAAAGUCCCAUGAGAUGAAGAUGCUGGGCUCUGGAUUUUAAGUAUAUGUUAGGUACCCAAAAGCACUAGUGAAUUCUUUGAAAAAAUUGACUGGAAUUUUCCAGAAGUCAAAGUAGACCUCUCUUUGUUUGCCUCUUACCUUCUACCUAAACUUUACAGCUCCUGCCUUUGCCUUUCAUAUCAUGUUUUAAACUUAAAGAUAAUUUUUAUAUUCUAGAUAUGAACUCUUAAAAAUAAGCAUUUAAGAUUAAGUGAAAUGUAUAGACAGGUACUUAACUCUAGCAACACAUAUUCUAAUUAGGAGAGUUCCUAAUAGCACUGAAUAGCAGAAUCAUGACUCUUGAGAACAGUGUGUUGGAUAUCAGUUUCUCUGGAAGGGUGCAGUGUCAGAUCCAUGUUUGAAUUUCCAGUGCAGUUUAACACAUGUCCAUCUCAGCUCUCAGCUAGUUUUACACACAGCCACUUGACCUUGAUGAUAAAAUUGAUGAUAGUAAAAUCUAACUAUGAAAAGACUCUAUCAUGUUUUCAUUUUGCAGCAUUUAAUAUUAAGAACUGGAAGUGAUCUUGUCUCUUCAGUAUUGCUUGCAUCCUCACUAUCAAAAUCAUGGUAUUGUCACUGCUUUUUAUUUUAUUUUAUUUUAUAACAAAGACAUGCUGAUAAAAAAGCAGCAACUUCCAUUCUAAGAUUAUAGUUGUGAUGACUGAAGAAGACAUAAUAAAGAUUGAUUUAGACUGGAAGUGCAGGGCCAAAGAUGUGUGAACAAGUUUAAGAUUAACAUCAAUCUUCCAGAAUCUUUAAAAUCACACAAACUCACUAUUAAAUAUAACUGCUGUAUAAACUAGUAAUAUGGAUAUAAUGCUUUCUCACUGCUAUGUGUUCCCUUCUCCAGUCAUAUGAAUUAUGUGAAAGCAAAUUAACACUUCAGUUUGAAAAUGUUUGACACGUUAACUAAAAACAGCUAGGAGAUAUAUGAUGGUCCUCAAUUUAGAGACAGAGAAAUUGACACCAAUAUUAAGUGAAUUACACAAGCAAAUCAGUGCCAGAUCUGGGACUAGAACUAUCACCCUCAUUAUUCUACUUCGUAAUCAUUACACUUUAACCAAGGACUAAGUUAAAUGUGUAAGCAGAAUCCAGAACUCAAGACAGUGUACUAACUUUACCUAACCUAACCAUCGAGCUAGUGAGUUGUGAUCCCUCUUGCUUGCUCUUUCUUGUCCAGUGAAGUUUGAAUUCUUUGCUGCAGAAUGGAACCGAUUCAAGAAGAGAAACAGAACAGGCCUGCACUUCAAAACAGCUAGCAGC
This is a long non-coding RNA of Gavialis gangeticus (Gharial), 1848 nucleotides long. RefSeq lists it as uncharacterized. The record is from RefSeq and is a predicted model, not a curated record. The transcript is spliced from 3 exons. NCBI's taxonomy places the organism in Eukaryota, Metazoa, Chordata, Crocodylia, Gavialidae.